CAAUAGCGUAUAUUAAAGUUGUUGCGGUUAAAAAGCUCGUAGUUGGAUCUCGGCAGGCAGGGGGUGGUUCGCUCUUAGCGCUACUGCCCCAUUUGCCUGUGUGAUUGGCGGAGGUUUCGGGGUGCUCUUCGUUGAGUGACCCGGGGCGCCGUCAGGUUUACUUUGAAAAAAUUAGAGUGCUCAAAGCAGGCUUUUCACGCUUGAAUAUUCGUGCAUGGAAUAAUGGAAUAGGAACUCGUUUCUACUUUGUUGGUUUUCGGAAAUCGAGUUAAUGAUUAAUAGGGACAAUUGGGGGCAUUAGUAUUCAGACGACAGAGGUGAAAUUCUUGGACCGUCUGAAGACUAACUACUGCGAAAGCAUUUGCCAAGAGUGUUUUCAUUAA
This 383-nucleotide ribosomal RNA is filed under the name uncultured eukaryote. RNAcentral describes it as "partial 18S ribosomal RNA". It matches the Rfam family "Eukaryotic small subunit ribosomal RNA", at positions 592 to 976 of the family's 1831-position model. The record is from RNAcentral.